GAGUUUUUAACACGCAGAGUCAUUUGCACUCAGCUGCCAGCAAUUCCCCCAUUACAGUUAAGGUUCUCCCACCCAAGCAGUGGUUCCUAUGAGGUUUCUGCUUCUGAGUCUCUGCUCCGCAUUUAGAGCAGUGGUUCUCAACCAAGGGGGAGUCUCUUUCCCAGGAGACAUUUGGCAAUGUCUGGAGAUAAUUUUUGCUGUUAUUUUGGGAAGGGGCCACGCUACUGUCAUCUGGGGACCUGAAAGAUGAUGGCAUCCUUUUGGCAUUGCUCCUAGACUGCCUCUCCUCGUGGUUGCCAAAUGACUGUAGAACUUCCCAACAUCGCCUCACAGCAAUCUUCACAAGAAAAUCUUUUCAGAAGACUCAAAAAUCAACUUCCCUUCUAAUUUUAUUGGCCGGAAUUAGGUCACAUGUCCACCCCUAAGCCACUCAGCGGCCAAGAAGAAUGUCAUCUUGGACUGGCCUGGCUGAUCAGGGUCUCUUUAGAGGUGGAAUCUGAAGUCACCCACCUCUAAGUCAUGUGGCAAAUAAAUAAAUUCCUGAAAAAAAAUGUAUUUCUUUUAGCAAAAUAGAAAGGUUGAAGGUCCUCACAUGUAGGCAACAAAAGUUUCUGCCAAACUAUGUAUCUUGCAAAUCGUUCUUACUGGACAAAUCAUAUAAAGGAGCUUAGAGACCAUUAUUUGUACAUUAUAAACCAAUGCUAGAAAUCUUCAUUUGCAUCCUGAUUUUUGAAUUUUAGAAUACUACCUUUAUUCUCACUGCUUAGGUGAUAUUAUGAGGUUAAUAUGAUCCAGAUUUUUCAUAAAAGUUUUUGAAAAUAUGGAAUGUGAUUGAAGAGUGUAGAAAUAACUUUAAAGCCUUUACAUAUAGAAAGGAAAACUAUUUGUCAUUUAAAAAAUCACCAUUGAACCAUUUCUUCCCAUUUUGAUGGACUUUAAUAUCUUUUAUUGUGAAAUAUUUUUAAAGAGUUUCAAGGCUCUUUUAUGAUUAGGUUUUAGAAAUAUAGUGUUUAUUUUUUUAGAAAUGGGUUUUUGGAAUGAGGUUACUCUUUGAUAGUCUGAUUCAUCUCUGGGCCUUGCUCGGCUGCAUAACUCAGUCCCGUCAUAGUGAUGGUCCUUGUACUGAAUGGUAGGCUUCACAUUUCACUGGUGCAGAAUUUAUUACACUUUUCUAAAGGCCCCACUUCCUCUGAUAUUUAAAAAUCAUCUUACUUAAAAACUUAAACAGAAAUAUAUUUUGUAUUUGCCAGUUAUUGAAAUGUCGGAUGAUGUUUAAAAUGUCCAUUAAUGCAUAACAAUCCACAUGCAUAUCUCUACAGUGAUACUUCUCAGAGCAGAGAAAUAUUAUUCAAUAUGUAGCCAUUAAGCAAGAGGUUUAUUGCAAAACAUAAAAAAUGCUGUGCUAUAGAAGACAUACUUUUUUGGAGUGCCAGAAGUACCCCAGAAGCCUAAAAUAUCCCAGGAUCUAAAAUAGAACAGUAUAGGGGUGGCCUGGUGGUGGUGUGGUUAAGUUCACACACUCUGCUUUGGUGGCCCAGAGUUCACCAGUUCAGA
Molecule: long non-coding RNA, 1554 nt
Organism: Equus asinus (donkey)
Lineage: Eukaryota; Metazoa; Chordata; Mammalia; Perissodactyla; Equidae
Source: Ensembl